AGCGAACGCUGGCGGCAGGCUUAACACAUGCAAGUCGAACGCCCCGCAAGGGGAGUGGCAGACGGGUGAGUAACACGUGGGAACGUACCCUUUGGUUCGGAAUAACUUGGGGAAACUCAAGCUAAUACCGGAUAAGCCCUUAUGGGGAAAGGUUUACUGCCGAAGGAUCGGCGCGCGUCGGAUUAGCUAGUGGGUGAGGUAAUGGCUAACCAAGGCGACGAUCAGUAGCUGGUCUGAGAGGAUGAUCAGCCACACUGGGACUGAGACACGGCCCAGACUCAUACGGGAGGCAGCAGUGGGGAAUAUUGGACAAUGGGGGCAACCCUGAUCCAGCCAUGCCGCGUGAGUGAUGAAGGCCUUAGGGUUGUAAAGCUCUUUUACCCGGGACGAUAAUGACUGUACCGGGAGAAUAAGCCCCGGCUAACUUCGUGCCAGCAGCCGCCGUAA
This 447-nucleotide ribosomal RNA is filed under the name uncultured bacterium. Its description in RNAcentral is "partial 16S ribosomal RNA". It matches the Rfam family "Bacterial small subunit ribosomal RNA", at positions 29 to 523 of the family's 1533-position model. The record is from RNAcentral.